GAUGAACGCUAGCUACAGGCUUAACACAUGCAAGUCGAGGGGCAGCAUGGUCUUAGCUUGCUAAGGCCGAUGGCGACCGGCGCACGGGUGAGUAACGCGUAUCCAACCUGCCUUACACUCUUGGACAGCCUUCUGAAAGGGAGAUUAAUACAAGAUGUUAUCAUGAGUAAGCAUUUUCGCAUGAUUAAAGGUUUACCGGUGUAAGAUGGGGAUGCGUUCCAUUAGAUAGUAGGCGGGGUAACGGCCCACCUAGUCUUCGAUGGAUAGGGGUUCUGAGAGGAAGGUCCCCCACAUUGGAACUGAGACACGGUCCAAACUCCUACGGGAGGCAGCAGUGAGGAAUAUUGGUCAAUGGACGAGAGUCUGAACCAGCCAAGUAGCGUGAAGGAUGAAGGUUCUAUGGAUUGUAAACUUCUUUUAUACGGGAAUAAACGAAUCCACGUGUGGAUUUUUGCAUGUACCGUAUGAAUAAGGAUCGGCUAACUCCGUGCCAGCAGCCGCGGUAAUACGGAGGAUCCGAGCGUUAUCCGGAUUUAUUGGGUUUAAAGGGAGCGUAGAUGGGUUGUUAAGUCAGUUGUGAAAGUUUGCGGCUCAACCGUAAAAUUGCAAUUGAUACUGGCAGUCUUGAGUACAGUUGAGGUAGGCGGAAUUCGUGGUGUAGCGGUGAAAUGCUUAGAUAUCACGAAGAACUCCGAUUGCGAAGGCAGCUUACUAACCUGUAACUGACAUUGAUGCUCGAAAGUGUGGGUAUCAAACAGGAUUAGAUACCCUGGUAGUCCACACGGUAAACGAUGAAUACUCGCUGUAGGCGAUAUACAGUCUGCGGCCAAGCGAAAGCAUUAAGUAUUCCACCUGGGGAGUACGCCGGCAACGGUGAAACUCAAAGGAAUUGACGGGGGCCCGCACAAGCGGAGGAACAUGUGGUUUAAUUCGAUGAUACGCGAGGAACCUUACCCGGGCUUAAAUUGCAACCGAAUAUGGCGGAAACGCUAUAGCUAGCAAUAGCGGUUGUGAAGGUGCUGCAUGGUUGUCGUCAGCUCGUGCCGUGAGGUGUCGGCUUAAGUGCCAUAACGAGCGCAACCCUUGCCGAUAGUUACUAACAGGUUAUGCUGAGGACUCUGUCGGGACUGCCAUCGUAAGAUGUGAGGAAGGUGGGGAUGACGUCAAAUCAGCACGGCCCUUACGUCCGGGGCUACACACGUGUUACAAUGGGGGGGUACAGAGGGCUGCUACCACGCAAGUGGAUGCCAAUCCCAAAAACCUCUCUCAGUUCGGAUUGAAGUCUGCAACCCGACUUCAUGAAGCUGGAUUCGCUAGUAAUCGCGCAUCAGCCACGGCGCGGUGAAUACGUUCCCGGGCCU
This 1361-nucleotide ribosomal RNA is filed under the name uncultured bacterium. RNAcentral's name for it is "bacterial SSU rRNA". It matches the Rfam family "Bacterial small subunit ribosomal RNA", at positions 28 to 1381 of the family's 1533-position model. The record is from RNAcentral.